This 668-nucleotide ribosomal RNA is filed under the name Chlamydia psittaci. Its description in RNAcentral is "bacterial LSU rRNA". It matches the Rfam family "Bacterial large subunit ribosomal RNA", at positions 506 to 1159 of the family's 2925-position model. Lineage: Bacteria; Pseudomonadati; Chlamydiota; Chlamydiia; Chlamydiales; Chlamydiaceae. The record is from RNAcentral.
AAGGAAAGGUGAAAAGAACCCUUGUUAAGGGAGUGAAAUAGAACCUGAAACCAGUAGCUUAUAAGCGGUCGAAGACCUAUAACUUCUUAGGAAGUCAUGGUUGACGGCGUGCCUUUUGCAUGAUGAGCCAGGGAGUUAAGUUAAACGGCGAGGUUAAGGGAUUUACAUUCCGGAGCCGAAGCGAAAGCGAGUUUUAAAAGAGCGUUUAGUCGUUUGAUUUAGACACGAAACCAAGUGAGCUAUUUAUGACCAGGUUGAAGCAUGGGUAAGACCUUGUGGAGGACCGAACCAGUACAUGUUGAAAAAUGUUUGGAUGAGUUGUGAAUAGGGGUGAAAGGCCAAUCAAACUUGGAGAUAUCUUGUUCUCUCCGAAAUAACUUUAGGGUUAGCCUCGGAUAUUAAGCUUUUGGGGGUAGAGCACUGAAUUCUAGCGGGGGCCUACCGGCUUACCAACGGAAAUCAAACUCCGAAUACCAAAAGCGAGUCCGGGAGAUAGACAGCGGGGGCUAAGCUUCGUUGUCGAGAGGGGAACAGCCCAGACCGCCGAUUAAGGUCCCAAAUUUUAUGCUAAGUGAGUAAGGAAGUGAUGAUUCUAAGACAGUUGGAAUGUUGGCUUAGAGGCAGCAAUCAUUUAAAGAGUGCGUAACAGCUCACCAAUCGAGAAUCAU